This 499-nucleotide ribosomal RNA is filed under the name Guibemantis bicalcaratus. RNAcentral's name for it is "partial 16S ribosomal RNA". It matches the Rfam family "Bacterial large subunit ribosomal RNA", at positions 1930 to 2597 of the family's 2925-position model. Lineage: Eukaryota; Metazoa; Chordata; Amphibia; Anura; Mantellidae. The record is from RNAcentral.
GCCGCGGUACCCUAACCGUGCAAAGGUAVMANNAUCACUUGUUCUUUAAAUAAGGACUUGUWUCAACGGCAUCACGAGGGUUAAACUGUCUCCUUUUUCACAUCAGUGAAACUAAUCUCCCCGUGAAGAAGCGGGAAUAGUUCUAUAAGACGAGAAGACCCCAUGGAGCUUUAAACCCAACUACACCCCCAUUAAUCCCACCUUUAAACAUUGGGGCCCUGUAUGUUUUGGUUUUGGGUUGGGGUGACCACGGAGCACAAACUAGCCUCCACAAUGAACAAGACUCCUCUCUUUAUCUAAGACCCACACCUCCMAGAAUUAGCACUCUNACMUAAAAUGAUCCGAUAUUCGAUCMAUGAACCAAGUUACCCUGGGGAUAACAGCGCAAUCCACUUCMAGAGCCCCUAUCGACAAGUGGGUUUACGAMCUCVAUGUUGGAUCAGGGUAUCCUAGUGGUGCAGCAGCUACUAAAGGUUCGUUGUUCAACGAWUAAAACCCU